Capsicum annuum is the source of this 953-nucleotide long non-coding RNA. RefSeq lists it as uncharacterized. The record is from RefSeq and is a predicted model, not a curated record. The transcript is spliced from 2 exons. Lineage: Eukaryota; Viridiplantae; Streptophyta; Magnoliopsida; Solanales; Solanaceae.
CCAAUACACGCAUUCCCCCAUACGUUGACCCAUUUCUCUUUCUCAAAACAACGAUACGAACAGCCAUGGACUUUCUUUCUUCUCUUUUCCCUUCUUCAUCGACAAAAAUGGCAGCCAUAGGCAGCCAUGGCUUUCACCCUACGCGAACUAAUCCCAUCUUGUCAUUCCAGACCUGCGAAACCCGCUAAACUCAGGAAAAUUGGACCCGAAAUGAUGUAACAACUCGUCAUUAACGUCAAAUCCGCCACAAGUCGCCUGAAAAGGUUGAAAUCGAUGGAUUUGCUUUAGAGAUUUGAAUUCAAAAAUUCAAAUUCUCUGUUUCUCCCGCGGUUUACUUAUUUGUUGUCUCAAAUCCGGACUUUAAAGUCCGGAUUUUGGCUAUAAAUAGCCGGAUUUCCACCCCUUUGAGGACAAGGAAGAUAAAGCAGAGGAGAAGAAAAGAAUUAAGAAAAAAAUUGUGAGAAAGUAAGGAAAAACCAGUGAAGUUUGGAAAAGGGGAGAAAAGCAAGAAGCAAGAGAGAAAAAGAGGAGAAAUAAAAAAGAAAGUGAAAACGGGUCCAAAAGUUGAAAAAAAAAGAAGGAAAAAUUAGUUUUUGAAAUCUAGAAAUCCACCAACGAAGUUACUAGAAUCAUUGAUUUUUUCUGUUGAUUUUGCAACUCGAGUCUGAGUGGCCGGAAUACUUGACGAAAAGCUAUGAUUUGCUGCACAACGUAAGUUGGAGUUUCGCAAUGGAAUUUAUUUUGAUUCAACUAUCGGGUCAAUCUCUAAUAGGAUCGCAGAGCUUGGGGAUUGCAUAUACUUGAAAACUCAAGCUCGUUAGGAGUCUAGUAUUGCUUAGUUCCUUCUCUUUAUUUAGUAUAAUACUAUGUUGUUAUUUGGGUUAAAACUUGAGACGAUAAUUAGUUAUUGUUGGUUAUUGAAGCUUUAUUGCUUUACUUCGUUUAUAUUGCUU